GGGAAGAAAUCCUUUGGGCUAAUACCCUAGGGGGAUGACGGUACCUGAAGAAUAAGCACCGGCUAACUACGUGCCAGCAGCCGCGGUAAUACGUAGGGUGCAAGCGUUAAUCGGAAUUACUGGGCGUAAAGCGUGCGCAGGCGGUUGUGUAAGACAGAUGUGAAAUCCCCGGGCUUAACCUGGGAACUGCAUUUGUGACUGCACGACUAGAGUGCGUCAGAGGGGGGUGGAAUUCCACGUGUAGCAGUGAAAUGCGUAAAUAUAGUGGAGGAACACCAAUGGCGAAGGCAGCCCCCUGGGAUGACACUGACGCUCAUGCACGAAAGCGUGGGGAGCAAACAGGAUUAGAUACCCUGGUAGUCCACGCCCUAAACGAUGUCAACUAGUUGUUGGGGAUUUACUUCCUUGGUAACGUAGCUAACGCGUGAAGUUGACCGCCUGGGGAGUACGGCCGCAA
RNAcentral lists this ribosomal RNA (457 nucleotides) under uncultured bacterium. Its description in RNAcentral is "bacterial SSU rRNA". It matches the Rfam family "Bacterial small subunit ribosomal RNA", at positions 442 to 891 of the family's 1533-position model. The record is from RNAcentral.